Molecule: long non-coding RNA, 84 nt
Organism: Aricia agestis (brown argus)
Lineage: Eukaryota; Metazoa; Arthropoda; Insecta; Lepidoptera; Lycaenidae
Exons: 3
Source: RefSeq, a predicted model, not a curated record
UGACGGAUUAAGACUACUUGAUACCCUAAGCAAUCCACGCUUGUGGGCCCCCCUAUCUGUAUGACAACUCUGUGUUUAAAGCUU